This is a non-coding RNA of Rattus norvegicus (Norway rat), 16542 nucleotides long. NCBI's taxonomy places the organism in Eukaryota, Metazoa, Chordata, Mammalia, Rodentia, Muridae. The record is from RefSeq and is a predicted model, not a curated record.
GUGGCAAUGGGGGGAGGUUUGGGAGGGGAACACCCAUAAGGAAGGGGAGGGGGGAGGGUGAUGUUUGUCCGGAAACCGGGAAAGGGAAUAACACUUGAAAUGUAUAUAAGAAAUACUCAAGUUAAUAAUAAAAAUAAAUAAAUAAAUAAAUAAAUAAAUACUCUUAAAAAAAAAAGAAAUACUCAAGUUAAUAAAAAAAAUGAGCCUUCAACUUAAUCAUAAUAAAAAAAAUAAAAUAAAUUAUAUAAUAUAUAUUAAAAUUUUUAAACAUUUCUGCUUUAUCAGUGCCUAUGUGGUGGUCUUGGAUAGGCUUGCCUUGCAGCAGUAGAGGCAAGAAAAUAAUGAGUUCAAGGUCAUCUCACUUCAUAUUGCCUUCAAGGCCAAACUGGCCUGUGUGAGACUUUGUCUAAAAAGUAAACAAAAUUAUAAAGGGAGUUGCUGUGCUUUUAUGCCUGAUUAGGAGGCACGUGACAUGACCUCACGUUGUCUCAGUCUUAGUGCUAAAAUUAAGGCAAGGCACACUAAAUGUGAUUUAAAUGAGGCACCUCCUUUGAAAAAUGGUCUAAUUGUAGAGUAAUACAUUUAAAGAAUAUGAAUUACAUGUUCCCCAGCCAAUGAUUACCUAGUUAACAAAAUCAGUUCAUGAUCCUUACACAAUUGGGAAAUUAUGAUUGUAAAAUGGUUAUUUUCUAAUUUUCCCAGUCCAUUUUUAUUCAUUCACCCUUUUUAUCAGGAUUACAUGUAUGUGUGAAUGAUUACAGACUCAGAAUUUGUUUAAAUACCUUUUUAUCUAUUUAUCUAUCAUCUCACUAGUAAACUAGGCUUGCCUGAAUUUGUUUAAAUACCUUAUUUAUCAUCCAUCCACCAUCCAUCCAUCCAUCUCACUAGGUAGACUAGGUUGACCUAAAACUCACAGCAAUCCUUCUGCCUCUAUCUCUCACAUGCUAAUUUACAUGCUAGUUCCACAAUGUCAAGUUCUUGAUGCUUGAAAUCCUUGCAGGAUAUUCUGAAGAACUAGAAUUUCAUUCUGUUUUACUGCUUGACCUUUAUUCACCUGCAUCUAAUCUUCAUUGCAAGUGUGUGAUAAAAUUUUUAAAACCUUUUAAGCUUUUUUUGAAACCUCAUAGUUAUUGAAGUGUGUUUUGUUUCUACUACUUCCGAGUUGCCUCUUGGUACCCAACCUGUGUGUGUGAAGAUGUGGGCCUCUUGUCUUCCAGGGUGUUCUUUUCUGUAAAACCAGCUUUAUCAUGAUAGUGCUCACUGAGUCGGGGAAUUUUCUCAGAUUGUGGUUCAGGAAACGUUUUUCUUCUUUUAAAGAGAACAGCAACUUAGCAAGAUAAUUGAUCUGUGGUAAGAAAACACAGCCCCUGAGUGCUCUGUAUGUGUUUUCCUAGGCUCUUUUCUUCCCACCCUUGGCUAUUAGGUCUGGCAUUCUAGCUGCAUGGAUCUAAAGCUCUUUGAAUUAGUAAUCUGAGAAAUUAAGUAACUCUGUCUUGCUUUGAUCUGCUGAUGAGAGACAUAUCAAUUUCCAGCUCAGGGAUACUGCCUCUUGUCACUCCAGGGAAAUUGUUUUACAUUAAUUUCUCUACUGGCAUAUGCUUAAGUUUUUCACAUCUGCUUGGCCGCACAAUAUUCACAGGCUGGAUUGACAUCUGUGCCACUCACCAGGUCUUGUUCUCAGAUGCUUGUACAAGACGGAUGGUCUUGUAGCGCUGCGUCCUCAUGGGUCGGGACCAGUCCCACACAGCAGCACAAUGCUGUUGAGAUCUUCAAGGUAUGACAGCCUCACAUUAGUCUUCAGACCAUGCCAGUCUCUGGUGAUACUGUAGUUAUCAUUGUUAACUGAGAGAUAUUGGAACAAUUUGUUUUUUAAAAAAUCUAUUAAGUUUACAAAACUGGAUUUUGGGUCUGUAUCAUUCCUAAAUUUUAAUUAUAAAAUGCUUCCCACAUUUUUCUUUUUUUAUAUGUAGCUUUGUGCUCUGUAGCUCUGGAUGGUUUAGAACUAUGUAUAUAGCCCAGGCUGGCUUCAGACUGGUAGCAUUCUGUCUCUAACAUGCAAGCCCUGGGACUGUGAAUGUAUGCCACCAUGCGUGGUCUUUUAAAACAUUCUUUCCUCAUGAAAAGUGAAAGUGAUGGUAUUUUUCUUUAAUGAUUUUUUGGUUUUAAAUUAUGUUAUUGGUAUAUAUACAAUAUGGAGAUAUCUUUUUAUGCAUGGAGUUUUUAGUAAGUGCACAGCUAGAAUUUAUAUUAAGUUUAAUUAAAUCUACAAAACAAAAUGCAAAUUAAAAUAUUAACUUAAUAUGGAAGAUUACAUUCUCAUUCUUAUUUUGUUUAAAGAAAGAUAUAACUUAAGGGAGAUGACUUGGUCUGUGAAAGAUGUGCUGUACAAACGCGAGGGCCUGCAUUUAGAUCCCAAGGAUGCAUAUAAUAUCAGGAAGCUUCAGGUUCAAUGAGAGAGACACUGUGUCAACGAAAUGGUAGAUAGCAGUUGAAAAAGACAUCCAACAUCAAUCUCUGGCUUCUACAUACAUGUGCAGUCACCCACACAAACACAUACAGACAGAUAUCAGACACAUGUAUAAAAACAAGUUGCAACACUUAGUCCUCAAGAUUUUUAAAGUAACAGAGAAAAUUUUUUAAAAAAUGUAGAAGUCAAAAUCUGGAGACAAUGUUCUGUCAUUUCCCCAAGUUAAGGCUUAUGUGAAAUUUUUGCCUGUAUCAUGUCUCUAGGGAUUGAGAUCAGAGAUUUGAUUUUUUUUCUUAUCUUGUGAGUUAUUUGUUUUGAUCUGUGUUGCUAUCCCCACGAAUGUUUCAUUUCAUCCACACUGUUCAGCUCUUGUAUACUUUCUACAUUGACAUUGUCUACUCCAUGUUCCUCUGAUCACAAAGGCUGGCCAAUAGUAAUGAGCAGUUUAUAAUCAUCAGCCAGACUUUCCUGGCUCUUAUCAUGGCAUACCAUGAGGUAUUUCUCACUGUACAAGUUCUCCUCUGAUUGUUUCUAGAAGUCACCUGUGAGUGUUAAUGACUCUCUUAGGCUCACUAAUCAUGGGCUCCUCUGUGGCCCUUGUCACAGCAACAGGUGGCUCGUCAGCACUGAUGCUUAAAUAAAAGCACUGAAUAAAUAUUGAAAGAUGGGAGAAUGGCUAUUUACUGAUUCUGAGUAGAAUUUUAGAUGGAAACUAGAAGCCAUCAAGUAUGCUAAUGUAAUAGAACUAAGCAAGUGGAAGACAGCAAGCAUCCAGCAAAACUACAUUGGGAGGUGGUUUUUUUUAUUUAUUAGAUAUUUUUAAUUCAAAUUUUAAAUGUCAUCCCAUUUCACAGUUUCUGCUCCAGAAACCAGCUAUCCCAUCCCUCCUCCCGUGUUUCAUGAGGGUGCUCCCUCACCUACCCACCCAAUCCCUCCCACCUCCUACCCUGGCAUUCCCCUACACUGGGGUGUCGAGCCUCGACAGGACAAGGGCCUCUCCUCCCAUUAAUGCCCAACAAGGCCAUCCUCUGCUACAUAUGUGGCUGGAGCCAUAGGUCUAUCCCUGUGUAUUCUUGGGACGGUGGUUUUGUCCCUGAAUUCUCUCGGAGGGGUCUGGUUGGUUGAUAUUGUUGCUCUUUUUAUGGGGUUGCAAACCCCUUCAGCUCCUUCAGUCCUUUCUCUAACUCCUCCAUUGGGGACUCCGUUGUCAGUCCAAUGAGUAGCUGCCAGCAUUGCCCUCUGUAUUUGUCAGGCUGUGGCAGAGCCUCUCAGGAGACAGCUAUAUCAGGCUCCUGUCAGCAUGCACUUCUUGGCAUCCACAAUAUUGUCUGGGUUGGAUGUCUGUGUAUGGGCUGGAUCCCCAGGUGGGGCAGGCUCUGGAUGGCCUUUCCUUCAGUCUUCACACUUUGUCUCCAUAGUUCCUCCUGUGAGUAUUUUUGUUCACCCUCCUAAGAAGGUCUGAAUGAUCCACACUUCGGUCUUCCUUCUUGAGGUUUGUGAAUUGUUAGGUAUUCUAAGCUUUUGGGCUAAUAUCCACAUAUCAGUGACUGUAUACCAUGGUGUUCUUUUGUGACUGGGUUACUUCACUUAGGAUGCUAUUUUCUAGUUCCAUACUUUUGCCUAAGAACUUCAUGAAGUCAUUGUUUUUAAUACCUGAGUAUUAUUCCAUUUUGUAAAUGUACCACAUUUUCUGUAUCCAUUCCUCUGUUGAAGAGCAUCUGGGUUCUUUCUAGCUCCUGGCUAUUAUAAAUAAGGCUGCUAUGAACAUAGUCGAGCAUGUGACUUUGUUGUAUGUUGGAGCAUCUUUUGGGUAUAUGCCCAGGAGUGGUAUAGCUGGAUCUUCAGAUAAUACUAUGUCCAAUUUUCUGAGGAACCUCGAGACUGAUUUCCAGAGUAGUUGUACCAGCUUGAAAUCCCACCAACAAUAGAGGAAAGUUCCUCUUUCUCCCCACCUUUGCCAACAUCUACUGUCAUCUGAGGUUUUUAUCUUAGCCAUUCUGUCUGGUGUGAGGUGGAAUCUCAGGGUGGUUUUGAUUUUUCUGAUAACUAAGGAUGUUAAACAUUUCUUUAGGUGCGUCUCGGCCAUUCAAUAGUCCUCGGUUGAAAAUUCUUCAUUUAGCUCUAUACCCCAUUUUUAAUAGGGUUAUUUGUCUCUCUGGAGUCUAACUUCAUGAGUUCUUUGUAUAUUUUAGAUAUUAGCCCUCUGUCAGAUGUAGGAUUGGUAAAGAUCUUUUCCCAAUCUGUUGGUUGUCAUUUUGUCCUAAUGACAGUGUCCUUUGCCUUACAGAAGCUUUGCAAUUUUAUGAGGUCCUAUUUGUGGACUCUUGAUCUUAGAGCAUGAGCCAUUGGUGUUCUGUUCAGGAAAAUUUCCCUAGUGGCUAUUUGUUUGAGGCUAUAUCCCCACUUUCUCUUCUAUUAGUUUGAGUGUAUCUGGUUUUAUGUGGAGGUCCUUGAUCCCCUUGGACUUGAGCUUUGUACAGGACGGUAAGAAUGGAUCGAUUUGCAUUCUUCUACAUGCUGACCUCCAGUUAAACCAGCACCAUUUGUUACAAAUGCUGUCUUUUUUCCAUGGGAUGAUUUUAGCUCCUUUGUCAAAGAUCAAGUGACCGUAGAUAUGUGGGUUUAUUUCUGGGUCUUCAAUUCUGUUCCAUUGAUCUACCUGCCUGUCUCUGUAUCUAUACCAUACAAUUUUUAAUCACUAAUGUUCUGUAAUACUGCUUGAAGUCAGGGAUGGUGAUUCCCCCCAGAAGUUCUUUUAUUGUUGAGUAUAGUUUUCACUAUCCUAGGUUUUUGUUAUUCCAAAUGAAUUUGUAAAUUUCUCUUUCUAACUCUAUGAAGAAUUUAGUUGGAAUUUUGAUGGGGAUUGCAUUGAAUCUGUAGAUUGCUUUUGGCAAGAUGGCAAGUUUUACAAUAUUAAUCCUGCUAAUCCAUGAACAUGGGAGAUCUUUCCAUCUUCUGAGAUCUUCAAUUUCUUUCUUCAGAAACUUGAAAUUGUCAUACAGAUCUUUCACUUGCUUGAUUAGAAUUACCCCAAGGUAUUUUAUAUUAUUUGUAACUACUUUGAAAGAUAUCUUUCCCCUAAUUUCUUUCUCAGCCUGUUUAUCCUUUGAGUAGAGGCAGGCUACUGAUUUGUUUGAGUUAUUUUUUUAUCCAACCACUUUGGUAAAGUUGUUUAUCAGCUGUAGGAGUUCUCUGAUGGAGUUUUUGGGGUCACUUAAGGAUACUGUCAUAUCAUCUGCAAAUAGUGAUACUUUGACUUCUUCCUUUCCAAUUUAUAUCCCUUUGCCCUCUUUUUGUUAUCUAAUUUUUCUGGCUAGGACUUUAACUGCUAUAUUGAAUAGGUAGAGAGAGAGUGGGCAGCCUUGUCUAAUCCCUGAUUUUAGUAGGAUUGCUUCAAGUUUCUCCGCAUUUAGCUUGAUGUUGGGUACUGUUUUGCUACAUAUUACUUUUACUAUGUUUAGGUAUAGGCCUUGAAUUCCUGAUCUUUCCAAGACAUUUAUCAUGAAGGGAUGUUCAAUUUUGUCCAAGACAUUUAUCAUGAAGGGGUAUUCAAUUUUGUCAAAUGCUUUCUCAGCAUCUAAUAAGAUGAUCAAGUAGUUUUUUUUCUUUCAGUUUGUCUUUAUAGUGGAUUAUGUUGAUGGAUUUCCAUAUAUUGUACCAUACCUGCAUCCCAGGGAUUAAGCCUACUGGAUCAUGAUGGAUGAUUGUUUUGAUGUGUUCUUGGAUUUUGUUGCAAGAAUCUUAUUGAGUAUUGUUGCUUCAAUAUUCAUAAGGGACACUGGUCUGAAGUCUUUAUGGGUCUUUGUGUGGUUUAGGUAUAAGUGUAAUUGUGUCUUCAUAGAAUUAUGUAGUGUUCCUUCUAUUUCUAUUUUAUAGAAUAAUUUAGAGAAUAUUGGUAUUAGGUCUUCUAUGAAGGUCUGAUAGAAUUUAGCACUAAACCCAUCUGGUCCUGGCUUUCUUUGGUUGGUAGACUUUUAAUGACUGCUUCUAUUUUUUAGGAGUUAUAAAACUGUUUAUGGUUUAUAUGGUCCUGAUUAAAUGUUGUUCCCUGAUAUCUAUCUAGAAAAUUUUCUAUUUCCUCCAAACUUUCCAGUUUUCUUGAGUAAAGGGUUUUAUACUAGGAUCUGAUGAUAUUUUGGAUUUCCUCAGUUUCUUUUCUUAUGUUUACAUUUUCAUUUCUGAUUUUGUUAAUUUGGAUACUAUCCCUGCACCCUCUGGUUCAGCUAAGGGUUUAUCUAUCUUCUUUAUUUUCUAAAAGAACCAGUUCUUAGUUUUGUUGAUUCUUUGUAUAGACAUGUCUAUCCUUAUCUUUUUUGAUAACUUUUGGUUGAAAGUUGAUUUUAUUCGAUAUUAGAAUGGCUACUUCAGCUUGUUCCUUGGGAUCAUUUGCUUGGAAAAUUUUUUCCCAGCCUUUUACUCUGAGAAAGUGUCUGUCUUCAACACUGACGCAUGUUUCCUGUAUGCAGCAAAAUGCUGGGUCUUCUUUAUGUAUCCAGUCUUUUAGUCUAUGUCUUUUUGUUGGUGAAUUGAGUCCAUUGAUGUUGAAAGAUAUUAGGGACCAAUGAUGAUUGUUUCCUGUUUUGUUUUUUUUUGUUUGUUUGUUUAUUUUUUGUUUUAUUAGAGAUGGAAUUAUGUUUGUGUAACUAUCUUCUUUUGGGUUAGUUGAAAGAAGAUUACUUUCUUGGUUUUUCCAGGGUGUAGUUUCCUACCUUGUGUUGCAGUUUUCCAUCUAGUAUCCUCUGUAGGGCUGGAUUUGUAGAAAUAUAUUGUGUAUAUAUUGUGCAAUAUAUUGGUUUUGUCAUGGAAUAUCUUGGUUUCUCCAUCUAUGUAAGUUGAAAGUUUUGCUGGAUACAGUAGCCUGGGCUAGCAUUUGUGUUCUCUUAGGAUCUGUAUGACAUCGGUCCAGGAUCUUCUAGCUUUCAUAUUCUCUGUUCAGGAGUUUGGUGUAAUUCUGAUAGGUCUGCAUUUAUAUGUUACUUGACCUUUCUCCCUUACUGCUUUUAAUAUUCUUUGUUUAUUGCAUUUGGUGUUUUGACUAUUAUGUGACAGGAGGAAUUUCUUUUCUGGUCCAGUCUAUUUGGAGUUCUGUACACUUUCUUGUAUGUUUAUGGCAUCUCUUUCUUUAGGUUAGGGAAGUUUUCUUCUAUAAUUUUGUUGAAGAUUCUUACUGGCCCUUUCAGUUGGGAAUCCUUUCUCUCUCCUAUACCUGCUAUCUUUAGGUUUGGUCUUUUCAUUGUGUCUUGGAUUUCCUGGAUGUUUUUUGGGUUAGGGUCUUUUUGCGUUUUACAGUUUCUUUGACUGUUGUGUCAAUGUUUUCUAUGUUAUCUUCUGCCCCUGAGAUUCUCUCUUUUAUCUCUUGUAUUCUGUUUUUGAUGCUUGCAUCUAUGACUCCUAAUCUCUUUCCUAGGUUUUCUAUCUCCAGGGUUGUCUCCCUUUGUGCUUUCUUCAUGGUUUCUAUUUCCAUUUUUAGAUCCUGGAUACUUUUGUUCAAUUCCUUCACCUUUUUGGUUAUGUUUCCCUCUAAUUCUUUAAGGGAUUUUUGUGUUUCCUCUUUAAGGGCUUCUACCUGUUUACCUGUGUUCUCCUGCAUUUCUUUAAGGGAGUUAUUUAUGUCCUUUUUAAUGUCCUCUAUUAUCAUCAUGAGAUGUGAUUUACAUCAAAAUCUUGCUUUUCAAGUGUUCUGGGGUAUCCAGGAUUUGCAGUGGUGGGAUGCCACUGGGUUCUGAAGAUGCCAAGUGGCCUUGGUUUCUGUUGAUUAGGUAGUUGUGCUUUCCUCUCGCCAUCUGGUUGUCUCUGAUGUUAGCUGGUCUUGCUGUCUCUGACAGUGGCUUGACCCUCCUCUGAGUCUGUGUGUCAGCACAGACCAGCUCUCUCCUGGAGGGAUUUAGGUAUUAAGAGCUGUGGCACAGGGUCAGUUCUGGGUGCAGACAGAAACCAGAAGCAUUUGGGGACUUUUCAUUGUCAAAGUAAUUGUGCUACUUUUUCCUAUUACUAUGAGAAAAUAUUCUAACACAGUUGACUAAAGAGAAAAGGAAUUUAUUUUGGCUCAGUGGUUUAGGUUGUACUCCAUCAUUACAAAGAAAUCACAUCAGUAGAAGUUUGAGGCACUGCAUUCAUAGCAUAAAGCAAAGAGUACCAACGCUUGUGCUCAUUUUCUCCUUUCUAUCAGACUAAGAUCAAACCCAGGAAUGGUGCCAACCACAAUAAUUAACCUACUGAAGAUAAUCUCUGCAGGCAUAACCCAGAUGUCCAUCUCCUGGGUAGGUCUAGAUCUUGUCAGGUUGGCAACUGAGAUUAAACAUCAUAAAAGAAGCAAUAAAGAAAUAAACAGUUUGAAGCCAGAAGUCUUUUCAGCAGUGAAACUAUAGUAUCACUGAAGAAAAGACAGACAGAAUCUGACAGUUUUAAGUAAGUUUAUUACUUUGUGUUAGUUCCCAUUCAUAUCUGUCCUUGCCUGAAUAUUUUAUUUUGUGCCUAUUCAUAAUUAUUCUUGCCUGAAUUCAGCCCAGAGCCUGUAGGUUGGACAUACUUUAAAUUAAGCAAAGUAAGAUAUGAGAGAAGUGAGUGUAGGAGUUUGUCUUUCCUGUGUAGUUAGAGGUCACAUCCACUGGUUUUAAUAAAUGCCAAGCUCAUUCAGUGAUUAUUUUCCAGCAGGUAAUUCAGAAGUUACACAUAAUUAUGAUUAUCACUCCAAGACUUUACCUUAGCAAUAGAAUGCUUCUGAGAUUUAUAUUAAGAAAGAACAGGCCAGAUGAUGCCAAGAAGUGCAUGCUGACAGGAGCCCGAUAUAGCUGUCUUCUGAGAGGCUCUGCCAGAGCAUGACAAAUAGAGAGGUGAAUGCUAGCAGUGAACCAUUGAACUGAGAACGGGGUCCCCAUUGGAGGAGUUAGAAAAAGGACUGAAGGAGCUGAAGAGGUUUGCAACCCCAUAAGAACAAUAAUACCAACCAACCAGAGCUCCCAGGGACUAAACCACCAUCCAAAGAGUACACAUGGACAGACUCAUGGCUCCAGCUGCAUAUGUAGCAGAGGAUGGCUUUGUUGGGCACCAAUGGGAAGAGAAUCCCUUAGUCCUGCCAAGGCUGGACGCCCCCAGUGUAGGGAAUAUUAGGGUGGGAAGGCAGGAAGGGGUGGGUGAUUGGAGAGGGGGAACACCCUUAUAGAAGAAGGGAGAGGGGUAUGGGAUAGGGAGUUUAUGGAUGGGAAACCAGGAAAGGGAUAAUAUUUGAAAUGUAAAUUAAAAAAUAUUCAAUAAGGAAGGAAGGAAGGAAGGAAGGAAGAAAGAAAGAAAGAAAGAAAGAAAGAAAGAAAGAAAGAAAGAAAGAAAGAAAGAAAGAGAGAGAGAAAGAAAGAGAGAGAAAGACAGAAAGAAAGAGAAAGAAAGAGAGAGAGAAAGAAAGAAAGAAAGAAAGAAAGAAAGAAAGAAAGAAAAGGAAGGUAGGAAGAAAGAAUGAACAAAUGGAUGAACAGGCCAGCUUCAUAAACUGAUAGUGCCACAAGGUGGAGGUCCAAAAAUAUUACAGCAGGUUCAAUAUUAAGAUACUCAGCUCCUUUAUCUGCCUUAGAAUGGAGAGAUCACUAGAACAGAAGGAUUGCUAAACAUUGUGGAUAAAUGUUCAAUGUUAGAAAGGAAAGGAAGCAUUUCAAACUCAGCUAGUUUGUUUUAAUUGCAAGGAAAACUAAAACAAAACAAACACAUCUGCAUGAAUUUACACAUACAUUUGCUUUUAUGUACACAGUUAAGGAGAGGAAGAUAUUUAGCAAGCCACAAAUGUUUUCUUUCUGGACAGUAGGAUUACUGAGGACAGUUGUUGCCUUUUCGAUUGCUUUGGUUUGGGUUUAAUUUAAAAAAAAAAAAACUCACAUUGCCCAAGCUAUGUUGCUAAGGAUGAUCCUCCUGCCUCCACUUUUAAGAGUCCUGGGAUUAUAGGCUUUUACCAAUACAUAUAGCUAGAUAGAUAUAUAGCUAGAUUUUUUUCUUUUUCUAUUUUUGAAAAUUAAGCUUGUUUUUAAAACAAUUUUACACAUAUACAAAAUGCAUACUGACAGUCUCAGGUUCACCCUCCCCCAUUUCCCUAGCACUCUGUUUACUUACUUCCCUACAAAUCUCUCAUAUUCAUGUUUGUUAGGUUUGUUUUGUGACCCAGGGUCAUCUGAAUGGUCAGAGUUUGGAGAUAUUAUGAGAGUUUAAUGAGUUCAGGAGUAGGCACACAAUUGAAGAGUACCCCUUCCCAUAAAUAAAGAAUAUUUCUACAGUAUGGGGUAGAACCCCAUGACUCUUCUCCUAUCCAUGACUGGUGAUUUGCAGUGCUGGUAUGGUGCAGGUCCUAUGCAGUAACUGUAGUUGGUAUAAGCUCAUUAUCCUCGUCAAGUUCUAUUGCUGUGAAGGGACACCCUGACAACAGCAACUCUUAUAAAGAAAAGCACUUCAUUGUGGCUUGCUUACAGUUCAGAUGUUUACUCCAUUUUCAGCAUAAUGAGAAGGAACAUGGUGGCACACAGGCAGACAUGGUGCUGGAGAGGUAGCUGUGAGUUCUACAUCUCAGUCAGCAGGCAGCAGGAAGAGAAAGUGACACUGGGCUUAGUUUGAGCAUUUGAAUGAAACCUCAAAGCCCACCUCCAAUGACACACUUUUUCCAACAAGGCCACAGCUCUUAGUAGUAUUAUUCCCUAGGAGCCUAGGGAGGGGCACUUUCAUUUAGAGCUCCUCCCAUGGUUGUCAUGGUGCUUUGCAGCCCUUUACUCCAUCUUCCAGUUCUCAUGUCUGCUUCUGAUUUCAAUCUGCUCGCUCUCCAACUACAACACCAAGAGGAUCAGAAUCAACAUGACCCUCCUAUUAUCAUCCAAACAGCUCUGAUGCAGUCUCCCUAGGAAUUCUGAGAUCUGUUCCAGACAGGCACAGGGUAUUGUUCUCAUCAGAGAGUGCUUCUGUUUUGUAUGGAGUAUUUUGAGAAAAAUAUGUAAAGCACUUAGGAGAGAAAUAAACACAAUUAUGGCAGUUAACAAAAGAUAGAUGCUAUAAUAGUGAUGACGACGAUGACAACGACGCCGAUGAUGAUGAUAAUCUAUUAUGAGUUAUAUUCAAACCUAAGAUAAAUCUGCAUUUUAAUACGGCAUCCAACCUAUCAAAGUGACAGUGUGACACUAAGGGCUGUAUAGAAGUAUAAGGGUUUAAAUUUUUAUUUUAAAAUUAUAUUCAUUUGUUUAUUAUUUAUUGAUUUAUUUAGGAGCAGAAACUGAAGGAAUGGCCAACCAAUAACUUGAGUCCUAUCCCAUAGACAAGGACCAAUCCCUGACACUAUAUUGAUACUCUGUUAUGCUUGCAGACUGGAGUCUAGCAUGGGUGUCCUCUGAGAGGCUACACCAAGCAGCUGGCUCAGACAUAUUGCAGUCACCCACAGCCAAACAAUGACUCUUAUGAAAGAACAGGAGGACGGAUUGCAGCCUCUAAGGGAAUAUUACUCCACAGAGUCAACUAACAUGGACCCUUGGGGCUCUCAUAGACUGAACUAACAACCAAAGAAUAUACAUGGGCUGGACCUAGGCUUCCUUGCACAUAUGUAGCAUCUUGGUCUUCAUGUGGGUCCCAAACAACUGGAGUUGUGGAAGGGUCUACCCCAAAAGCUGUUGCCUGUACUCGGGAUAUGUUCUUCUAGCUGGGCUGCCUUGUGUGACCUUGGUGGGAGAGAAUGCACUAGCUUCAGAGAGUUGAUGUGCCAGGGUGGGGAGAUACCCAGGGGGUCCCUCACCUGCUCAGAAGAGAAGGGAAGAGGGCAUGGGGAAGUGGAAGGGGAAGGGGAGGGGAAGGACUGUGGGAGAGGGUGACCAGAAGGGGCACAGUGAUCAAAAUAUGAAGUGGAUAAGUAAAAAAUAAAUAAAAUUACAUGUAUUUAUGUUCUGUGUGUUUAUCUGUCCCACAUUACAAGUAAAGGUCAGAUGACAACUUUCAGGAGCUGAUUCUCUCCUUCUAUCAUGUUGGUUUUAAGGACUGAAGUCAGAUUGUAAAGCUUGGGUGUAAGUGUUUUUAGUCACUAGACCAUCUUAUUGGCCCUGUGUUUUUGAGAUGGCCACAUAGUCUUGAAUUUUCUAUACUAUGAUGACCCUGAACUUCUGAUCAUCCUGCCUCUACUCACCAAGUGCUGAGAUUGAACCUUGUGUAUGCUAGACAAGCACUCUACCACCUGAACUAUAGUCUAGGCCCCAAGUUUUCAUAUAUAUGUGAGUAUGACGUAUGUACUGAGGAAGACAUCAAAAGAGCUAUCCUCUAUCUUUUUAAACAUGAUUUCUUGCUGAACCUGGAGCUACCCAGUGGACAGCAAGCUCCACGGAGCCUCCUGACCUUCCCCUCCAUUGUUCUAGUGUUACAGGCCUCAUAGCCAUGCUUUUAAAAUAUAUCCUUGGGAUUUGAACUCAGGUCUUCAUACUUGUACAGCAAGAACUCCUCUCUACUGAGCCAUUUCUCUAGUCCCUCAGUUUCAACAUUUUGAUUUUGAGGGUAGACAAAGUCCAGUUUGCCAGAAUGGAGCUCAGGCUUGUUGGGAGAAAUGGUGAGGUAUUCUUUCCAUGAAAGGCAUUGGGCACUAGAAAUUGCAAACAAAUUCAACAAUGGCUGUCUCGCUAUGUGAAGGGGAAGGAAACUGGAGAAGCAUGAGCCUGAUAUGGAGGCAAGGCUUCCCUUGAGUUGGCUGGGGUUGCUGGUAUGUUGGGACUCACAAGAGCAUCCUACCAAAGGUUCCCAUAGCACACAAUGGCUGUAGACAGAGUCUGAGAUGUAAGAGUUAAUAUGCUUUAAAGAGUCAACAGGGCUGGGCGUGAAGAUGUACAAAUGUAAUCUUGAUACCUGGCCAGAAGAGACAAAAUAUCUUCAGUUCCAGACCAGCACUGGCUACAUAAUAAGACUUGGUUUUGAAAUUUCAGUGGGGUUACAGAUACCUAUGUGAGGUACUAAUUUCACCUUCAACAGUGGGAGUCCUUGUUAGGAAGUAUAAAGCAGCAGUGGCUACGGUAAGAGGGUAUCUGGUGGGCCCAUGUCUCACAGAGAAGUCACACCAUAUAACAGAACUGGGAUAAGGGAGGUUUGUUUAGGGGAAGGGAGGGGAGUGAGGACCUGGAGAAGGGGUAGAGGCAGACAGAGCCAUGAGGGCAGUGAAAGCAGAGACAGAGACGGAAGGACACAGAGAAAAUGAGAGGCUGGCCAGAAACAUAUGAGAACAUAAAGUGAGAGGGAGAGAGAAGGGGGUGGAGACAGGAAGAGGAAAAAGUCAACAAGUCCUCUUAUACGCUGCCAGGCACGUAUAUGCAAAUGAGGAAAAUAAAAUUGACAUUGGAUUUCUUAUCAGAUUCCUCAAAUGCAAAAAGAUACCAUCCUAACUGCUCCCAGGAUGUUGGAAGCAUUUUCUUUUGACAUAGAAGCAGAAUACUGUGUGUUCUCUCAUAAAGCGGAAAAUGUAUUCCAUAUUAAUAUAUUCAGUGCAAUUUCAAAGAAAAUAACACAGACUAAUCCUAAAACUUGUAUGGCAAAACUGAGGACCCAAAGUAGCAAGCCAUUCUUUUAUAAGACAACUAAGGAAAAUGCUUAGCUCAUUACCAUUGUGAGAUGUAUAGAGCAAAUGAAGUCCUCAGUGUGUGUGUAUUGUUGACAUGAGCCUUCCUGUUGUGGGUUGGUCUGGUGAUGCUAUGUAUUCAAGUGCUAACUAUGGCCCCCAAGAUCUGGUUGCCACUAGGAGGAGAUUCUUACCUACACCAAGUGGUGCUAGGUAACCCUUGCUCUUCAAUUUAAAGUUAAUUGGUUAAUAAAAGGCCAGAGCCUGGGGCAAUAGGGAGAGAAAGGUAAAACUUGAGGAUCCAGGUAGGGGUUUGAGAAGAGACCAGAGGAGGAAGGAGAAGGGACAGGGAGAGAGGAGGAGGCUGCCAGAGGAGAUGGACCAUGAGUUCACAGCCAGGAGAAACAGCAAGAAGGGACAUAUAACUGAGAUGUAAGUUAAAAUAGCUCCGAAACUCACUCAAUCAAGGCUUACAGCUUGUAAAUAAAAUACCAGGACUAUGUGUCUUUUAUAUGGGAAUGCUAGAAUAUAUAAUUCAUUUUACAUUGCCUUAUCAGGGACCCCACUGUCUCGACCCAUGGGAAUGAAAGGCUUUCCCUAGGUCAGAGUGUGGAUGAUGACUGUAUACAAAAAUGUUAACCAUGGUCUCCUGGAUGACUGCAGGCUGAGACAGCUAGCUCCCUUACAGAGAACUCCAACUGCGAUUAGCUAAACCACCUCCUAUCUCAGCAAUAAAUAAACAAAAAUUAAAAUAAACAAUAAAGGUAUACACACUGUGAGUUUCUAGGAUGCUAGUUCCUCUCAUCAGACAGCUUGGCUCCAGAUCCCAGUCUUCUCUUCAUUCCCCAUCACCCAAUCAGCUCAAUCUUAAAGCUGUGCAGUUCAUGGCAAUGAGAGUAAUUUAUGUCAAAAAAUUGCUACUCCUAUAGAGUUAACAUUAUUAUCAUUAUCUUCCAGUUUAUUAAACCUUGAAAUCUAUGCCUUAUUUAAAUAUUAAUAACAUCCUACUGAAUAUUACUACACAGCAUGUACACAAUUAAUAAAUAAAAUUUAUUCACUACAGAUUAAAUUUUCCCAAACAUUUAAAUGUUGAUUUCAAACUUAAUCAAACACUUCUAAAUAUUUAAUUAGAAUCUCUUGAGUAUAGAGCAGCUUCUUAAAUGCUCCGAAAUCUAUCAAGUUCACAAAUGUAUGAUUAUUGUAAAGCUAACCAGUUGCAUAGAGUGCACAUAUGCAGGAUAUACAUGUAGAUUAUACAAUUCCUUAUUCUUAUUAUAUAGACUAGGUUCUUUUCUACAGUGUAAUGAUAUGGUAGGCUAACUCAUCUGUCAUCUCAUAUUUUUGGCUCUCUCUAUGGUUCACCCUACUGCUCAUGCUGUAAGCUGACCUCUAGGUUUAUCCUGCACGAGAUGGACCAUGAGCUCAUGGCCAGGAGAAACAUCAAGUAAGGUUUAUACCCUUUGACCUACAUCUUCCCAAUUCACUAGCCCCUCCCCCACCCCUGCUAACAACUUUUGUGGGGUUUCAAUACAUUUUGCUCUUUUUAGUUUCCUCAUAUAGAAUGCAGUAUUUUUCUGUCUGUCUGUCUUACUUCACCUAACAUAAAUUCCAGGCUUAUCCAUUGCUUGCAAAUUCAGGAUUUCCUUCUUUUUGAUAUCCCAUUAUAUGCAUAAGCAAUACUGUCUGUUCAUUUAUUGAUGAAUAAUUGAGUUGCAACAGUGUCUUCGUUAUUAUGAAUUAUGCCAUAAACAGUGGGGUACAGAUAUGUGUGAAGUAUAGAUUUCAUACACACAUACACACACACACACACACAGAGGGGGUUGGGGGAAGGAGGGAGAGAGAGAAAAGGACUCAUGUAUCCUAUGAUGGUUUACAUCUUGAUUUUUUUUAAAACUAUGGUGUUUUUCACUCUAUUAAAUAUUUGUAUAAUUAAACAAAUCUGUAUUCCCAGCAGCAGUGUCAAAGGAUUCUCUUUUUUCCACAUCCUCACCAACACACAGUUACUUCCCUCUGUUAACUGUCCCUGAGUGGACAGAGUUAUAGCUCAUCACACUUAUGACUUGAACUCCAUGUGACUUUGUAUUUAGGGAUUCUUUCUCUCUCCCCCCCACCCCUCUCAGACUGGGUCAUAUGUAGCUCAAGCUGUCCUCAAAUCUGCUAUGUAACCGAGAAAGACCUUGAACUUCUGCAUCUCAUUGUCUUCACUGUCUCAUUGUCCUCAUUGUCUUCACUGUCAGGUUAUCUCCUACUUAUUUAGUGCUUGAAGACUGAACCCAGGGCUUCUUACAUCCUUGGCAAACAGUCUACCAACUGAGUACAGCCUCAUCUUUACAAGGCUCCAAAGAAAACAGGAAGCGUGUGGGAGUUGCUAGACCUGGAGAUCGACAGUCUUAGAGUUAGUCGGGACUCAAGACUGAGUUCCUCUCCUUAGUAAAGCUUUCCUUAGGUGUUUCCCAUUUCUAGCCAUCUUCUUGCUGUUAAUUUUUGACCUGCGAUACCUUUGCCAAAUAAAACGUGUAUGUUUUAGAUGCCC